UGAGUAACAUGUGGGUAUCUACCCUUUGGCCUGGAAUAACACGAGGAAACUUGUGCUAAUACCGUAUAAGCCCUUCGGGGGAAAGAUUUAUCGGUGAAGGAUUGGCCCGCGUAAGAUUAGAUAGUUGGUGGGGUAAUGGCCUACCAAGUCUACGAUCUUUAGCUGGUUUGAGAGGAUGAUCAGCAACACUGGGACUGAGACACGGCCCAGACUCCUACGGGAGGCAGCAGUGGGGAAUCUUAGACAAUGGGGGAAACCCUGAUCUAGCGAUGCCGCGUGUGUGACGAAGGCCUUAGGGUCGUAAAGCACUUUCGCCAAGGAUGAUAAUGACAGUACUUGGUAAAGAAGCCCCGGCUAACUCCGUGCCAGCAGCCGCGGUAAUACGGAGGGGGCUAGCGUUGCUCGGAAUUACUGGGCGUAAAGCGUACGUAGGCGGAUCAGAAAGUAUGGGGUGAAAUCCCAGGGCUUAACCCUAGAACUGCCUCAUAAACUCCUGGUCUUGAGUUCGAGAGAGGUGAGUGGAAUUCCAAGUGUAGAGGUGAAAUUCGUAGAUAUUUGGAGGAACACCAGUGGCGAAGGCGGCUCACUGGCUCGAUACUGACGCUGAGGUACGAAAGUGUGGGGAGCAAACAGGAUUAGAUACCCUGGUAGUCCACACCGUAAACGAUGAAUGCCAGUCGUCGGGCAGUAUACUGUUCGGA
RNAcentral lists this ribosomal RNA (701 nucleotides) under uncultured bacterium. Its description in RNAcentral is "bacterial SSU rRNA". It matches the Rfam family "Bacterial small subunit ribosomal RNA", at positions 107 to 844 of the family's 1533-position model. The record is from RNAcentral.